Molecule: ribosomal RNA, 375 nt
Filed under: uncultured organism
Description: partial 16S ribosomal RNA
Rfam family: Bacterial small subunit ribosomal RNA
Source: RNAcentral
GUAGGUGGCAAGCGUUGUCCGGGAAUUAUUGGGGCGUAAAGCGCGCGCAGGCGGUUCUUUAAGUCUGAUGUGAAAGCCCACGGGCUCAACCGUGAGGGCCAUUGGAAACUGGAGAACUUGAGUACAGAAGAGGAAAGCGGAAUUCCACGUGUAGCGGUGAAAUGCGUAGAGAUGUGGAGGAACACCAGUGGCGAAGGCGGCUUUCUGGUCUGUAACUGACGCUGAGGCGCGAAAGCGUGGGGAGCAAACAGGAUUAGAUACCCUGGUAGUCCACGCCGUAAACGAUGAGUGCUAAGUGUUAGGGGGUUUCCGCCCCUUAGUGCUGCAGCUAACGCAUUAAGCACUCCGCCUGGGGAGUACGGCCGCAAAGGCUGA